RNAcentral lists this long non-coding RNA (679 nucleotides) under Panax ginseng (ginseng). Its description in RNAcentral is "long non-coding RNA (PGIN_LNC005402)". Lineage: Eukaryota; Viridiplantae; Streptophyta; Magnoliopsida; Apiales; Araliaceae. The record is from RNAcentral.
GCAACUUUAACGAAUUAUGAGUACAUUUCAUGUAACUUAAUAUACUUAGUGUCAUUGUAGUGCGGGUCAAUUAUGGUAACCAUCCAAUCUUUAACUGCGAAUAGGAACAAGACAAAAUGGCAUUGAUUGGUACUACACACCGGCAUGAAUAUGUAUUUGCAUUCGUGUAAAGGUGGACCAACAUCUUGGUUAACAUACGGAUCGCAAAAACUUCAUGCAGUAUUCACGUUAGUGCAGGGCACAUAGCUCUGCCCAAGAUGCAUGAAGAAUGAAUUCAUGAAACCAAAAUGGGACCACCUUUGUAUUCCCCGCGACCUAUAGUAUUCCUCUCUGUCUCGUAGCAACAACAUAUAAGUGUCGAUGACAUGCUUGAAUAUCCAACUCCCAGGCCCUAAGGAUUGCACUGCAUUGUGGUCUAAUUCAUAUAACUGGUGCGGAUGUGAUAAAGGAUAUAAAUCCCCUUCUGGUGCCACCACGUUUCCAAACAUAUGUUUAUUUAUAAAUGUCUCCUUCCAAUCUUUAAGUCUUUUAGAUAAGGACCCUUUUGGUCCAUAAGAGAUGUGGUCUCCCGCAUCUUGUACCUGAUUGAGACCCAAAUGUACAUUAUAAUUAUAUAGAAAUAAUAAUUAAAACCAUCACUAUUAACAUAACUAUAUAUACCUUUUGUGAACUAGAUCCC